UCAAGUUAUUAAGGGUGCAGGGCGAAUGCCUUGGCACUAGGAGCCGAUGAAGGACGUGAUAAGCUGCGAUAAGCUUCGGGGAGUUGCACGUAAACUUUGAUCCGAAGAUUUCCGAAUGAGGAAACUCACUUAGAGUAAUGUCUAAGUAUCGUAUGAUGAAUACAUAGUCAUGCGAGGGGAACCCGGAGAACUGAAACAUCUAAGUACCCGGAGGAAGAGAAAGAAAUUCGAUUCCGUAAGUAGCGGCGAGCGAACGCGGAACAGGCCAAACCAGUGAAGUUUUCUUCGCUGGGGUUGCGGACAUAUCAUAACGAAGAGGUAUCGUAGAAGAAGAGAGUUGGAAAGCUCCGCCACAGAUGGUAACAGCCCAGUAUUUUAAACGAGAAAACUUUAGAUAUGAUCCAGAGUACCACGGGACACGUGAAACCCUGUGGGAAGCAGGAGGGACCAUCCUCCAAGCCUAAAUACUACCUAGUGACCGAUAGCGUAUAGUACCGUGAGGGAAAGGUGAAAAGAACCCCGGGAGGGGAGUGAAAGAGAACCUGAAACCCUGCACUUACAAGCUGUAGGAGCACAUUAUUUGUGUGACUGCGUACUUUUUGUAGAACGGGCCAACGAGUUACGUUGUGUAGCAAGGUUAAGCACUUAAGGUGUGGAGCCGUAGCGAAAGCGAGUCUUAAAUGGGCGUCCAGUUACCCGACGUAGACCCGAAACCAGGCGACCUAUCCAUGAGCAGGUUGAAGCGAAAGUAAAAUUUCGUGGAGGACCGAACCCACGUACGUUGAAAAGUGCGGGGAUGACUUGUGGAUAGCGGUGAAAUUCCAAUCGAGCCUGGAGAUAGCUGGUUCUCCCCGAAAUAGCUUUAGGGCUAGCCUCAAGCUUAGAGAAACGGAGGUAGAGCACUGAAUGUCCUAGGGGGUAUUGCACUUACCGAAGACUAUCAAACUCCGAAUGCCGUAUUCUUUUGCUUGGGAGUCAGACUAUGGGUGAUAAGAUUCAUAGUCAAGAGGGCAACAGCCCAGAUCGUCAGCUAAGGUCCCUAAAUGUAAGUUAAGUGGUAAAGGAUGUGGAAUUGCACAGACAACCAGGAUGUUGGCUUAGAAGCAGCCACUCAUUUAAAGAGUGCGUAAUAGCUCACUGGUCGAGUGAUUCUGCGCCGAAAAUUUCCGGGGCUAAAACUUACUACCGAAGCUACGGCAUCAUUAUGAUGGGUAGGGGAGCUUUCUAUGCGGCUUGAAGCAUGACCGUAAGGACAUGUGGACUGCAUAGAAGUGAGAAUGUUGGCAUGAGUAGCGAGAUGUGGGUGAGAAUCCCACAGGCCGUAAACCCAAGGUUUCCAGGGGAAGGUUCGUCCGCCCUGGGUUAGUCAGGACCUAAGCCGAGGCCGAAAGGCGUAGGUGAUGGACAACAGGUUGAUAUUCCUGUACCACCAAUAACCGUUUGAGAAAUGGGAUGACACAGUAGGAUAAGCUAACCGCACUGUUGGUUAUGUGCGGGCAAGUAUUGAGGCAGUUCCGAUAGGCAAAUCCGUCGGAAUAAUGCUGGGGUACGAUGCGGAGCGAAAUUUAGUAGCGAAGUAGCUGAUUUCACACUGUCGAGAAAAGUCUCUAUCGAGGUUAAAGGUGCCUGUACCGCAAACCGACACAGGUGGGUGAGGAGAGUAUCCUAAGGCCAGCGAGAGAACUGUUGUUAAGGAACUCGGCAAAAUGACCCCGUAACUUAGGGAGAAGGGGUGCCUUCGAAAGAAGGCCGCAGAGAAUAGGCCCAAGCGACUGUUUACCAAAAACAUAGGUUUCUGCUAAGUCGCAAGACGAUGUAUAGGAGCUGACGCCUGCCCGGUGCUGGAAGGUUAAGGGGAUCUGUUAGAGCAAUCGAAGCAGUGAACUUAAGCCCCAGUAAACGGCGGCCGUAACUAUAACGGUCCUAAGGUAGCGAAAUUCCUUGUCGGGUAAGUUCC
This 1957-nucleotide ribosomal RNA is filed under the name human gut metagenome. RNAcentral's name for it is "bacterial LSU rRNA". It matches the Rfam family "Bacterial large subunit ribosomal RNA", at positions 3 to 1984 of the family's 2925-position model. The record is from RNAcentral.